Molecule: ribosomal RNA, 500 nt
Filed under: uncultured bacterium
Lineage: Bacteria
Description: partial 16S ribosomal RNA
Rfam family: Bacterial small subunit ribosomal RNA
Source: RNAcentral
AUUGAACGCUGGCGGCAUGCCUUACACAUGCAAGUCGAACGGCAGCGCGGGAGCAAUCCUGGCGGCGAGUGGCGAACGGGUGAGUAAUAUAUCGGAACGUGCCCUAGAGUGGGGGAUAACUAGUCGAAAGAUUAGCUAAUACCGCAUAUGCUCUACGGAUGAAAGUGGGGGAUCGCAAGACCUCAUGCUCGUGGAGCGGCCGAUAUCUGAUUAGCUAGUUGGUAGGGUAAAAGCCUACCAAGGCCACGAUCAGUAGCUGGUCUGAGAGGACGACCAGCCACACUGGGACUGAGACACGGCCCAGACUCCUACGGGAGGCAGCAGUGGGGAAUUUUGGACAAUGGGGGAAACCCUGAUCCAGCAAUGCCGCGUGUGUGAAGAAGGCCUUCGGGUUGUAAAGCACUUUUGUCCGGAACGAAACGGGCCGAGCUAAUAUCUUGGCCUAAUGACGGUACCGGAAGAAUAAGCACCGGCUAACUACGUGCCAGCAGCCGCUGUAA